UACGGGGGGAGCAAGCGUUGUUCGGAUUUACUGGGCGUAAAGGGCGCGUAGGCGGUCGUGACAAGUCACUUGUGAAAUCUCCGGGCUUAACUCGGAACGGUCAAGUGAUACUGUCGGACUAGAGUACAGAAGGGGCAACUGGAAUUCUCGGUGUAGCGGUGAAAUGCGUAGAUAUCGAGAGGAACACCUGCGGCGAAGGCGGGUUGCUGGGCUGAUACUGACGCUCAGGCACGAAAGCGUGGGGAGCAAACAGG
This 254-nucleotide ribosomal RNA is filed under the name uncultured bacterium. RNAcentral's name for it is "partial 16S ribosomal RNA". It matches the Rfam family "Bacterial small subunit ribosomal RNA", at positions 524 to 776 of the family's 1533-position model. The record is from RNAcentral.